RNAcentral lists this ribosomal RNA (305 nucleotides) under uncultured bacterium. RNAcentral's name for it is "bacterial SSU rRNA". It matches the Rfam family "Bacterial small subunit ribosomal RNA", at positions 335 to 654 of the family's 1533-position model. The record is from RNAcentral.
AUUCCUACGGGGGGCAGCAGUGGGGGAUAUUGGACAAUGGGGGAAACCCUGAUCCAGCGACGCCGCGUGAGUGAAGAAGUAUUUCGGUAUGUAAAGCUCUGUCAGCAGGGAAGAAAGAAACGACGGUACCUGACCAAGAAGCCCCGGCUAACUACGUGCCAGCAGCCGCGGUAAUACGUAGGGGGCAAGCGUUAUCCGGAAUUACUGGGUGUAAAGGGAGCGUAGACGGCGGUGCAAGCCAGAUGUGAAAGCCCGGGGCUCAACCCCGGGACUGCAUUUUGAACUGUGCUGCUAGAGUGUCGGAG